This 76-nucleotide transfer RNA is filed under the name Patescibacteria group bacterium. RNAcentral's name for it is "tRNA-Thr". It matches the Rfam family "tRNA". Rfam says of the family: Transfer RNA (tRNA) molecules are approximately 80 nucleotides in length. Their secondary structure includes four short double-helical elements and three loops (D, anti-codon, and T loops). The record is from RNAcentral. RNAcentral also lists the same sequence under 1 other name.
GCCACCUUAGCUCAGUUGGUAGAGCACCGCUUUUGUAAAGCGGCUGUCCUCGGUUCGAGUCCGAGAGGUGGCUCCA